RNAcentral lists this ribosomal RNA (253 nucleotides) under uncultured bacterium. Its description in RNAcentral is "partial 16S ribosomal RNA". It matches the Rfam family "Bacterial small subunit ribosomal RNA", at positions 524 to 776 of the family's 1533-position model. The record is from RNAcentral.
UACAGAGGGUGCAAGCGUUACUCGGAAUUACUGGGCGUAAAGCGUGCGCAGGCGGUGAUGUAAGACAGGUGUGAAAUCCCCGGGCUUAACCUGGGAACUGCAUUUGUGACUGCAUUGCUGGAGUGCGGCAGAGGGGGAUGGAAUUCCCGGUGUAGAGGUGAAAUUCGUAGAUAUCGGGAGGAACACCAGUGGCGAAGGCGGCGACCUGGGCCAAUACUGACGCUGAGGUGCGAAAGCGUGGGGAGCAAACAGG